Drosophila teissieri is the source of this 511-nucleotide long non-coding RNA. RefSeq lists it as uncharacterized. The transcript is spliced from 3 exons. Lineage: Eukaryota; Metazoa; Arthropoda; Insecta; Diptera; Drosophilidae. The record is from RefSeq and is a predicted model, not a curated record.
UAUACAAUUCAGUUGAUUCCCGAGGUUCAAACUAGCAACACCUUCGGGAAUGAACUCCAAAUUCUAAGUGAUUUUCGGUUGCCUUACGAAAUUUAAAAUUUUCGACUAGUUUUAAGAACAAAGUUUCUUUUUUUAAAAUUAUUCUUAAGCACAAAGUGAUAUUCUUUCCACCUGAAAAGUCGUAAUAUAUCGUAAACACCAACUCAGAAACACACAGAGCACAUGAAUGCCUUGAAACACGUACAGACGACUCGACUCUUUUCUUUUCUCCUGAGGAUACUCUACAUGAUUUACACUUACAUUAAUUUAUACUUCCUGGACGAACUUACAUAAGCGGAAAUAAGACUUAAACACUAUUAUCUAUAAUACUGAUCAACACUUGGAGCUCUCUGGACACGUAACUCAUGAUUACCAAUACCAAUGAAUGAAAAGCAGGAGGGGCAUAUACAUAUAUGGAUAUAUAUAUGCUAUACUAAAUAAUAUAAAAAUAAAUGUACCUUUUAAACUUAAA